AACGACGGUGCCGUUAAGGGUAUGUUAUAAAAAAAUGUCUCCUGAUCUACCUGAUCAAACUGAUUCUUGCAUAUCUCCCAGUUGCCUUCGACAAAUUUCUGCUGUGGUCGAAGUGAUUUUUUUUAGAUAGAGUUGUUGCAAGAGUUUUGCGAUUAAGACAUGAACCAUGCCAAAUGUAAAACGUAGUAUCAUUGGCCGUUGUACACAAAUCGUACACAAAAUGCAAAUCAGCUAGCGAAUAUUCGGGCACGCCGAAACGAAGAGCAGCGUAGGCAGGUCAAUAAAAGUGUGGACAAAUGCAACAAUCUGGAGCUAACUUCAGUAACUGGUGUUAUUCGUACAGCUGUCAAAGAAGCAGGUAUAUUGAUGCAAGAUGGCAAGCGCCGAGUUUCAAGGCACUUUUUGACAAAUUUGAAUAACGCUCAACUACAAGUCAUUUUCACUAUACUACAAAGAAAUAUCGAGCUAUUGAAUGAUGAAUUGGUCGAACUGCUAAUGAAACGUGAUGAAUUGCAAAUUAGCUUAGAUGCGACAUUAAUAGACAUAGAUGAUUUAUGGUUAUACUUUCUAGAUUGAAUAUUAUGACUUUAAAAUGUAGCAAUAAAGAUUGUUUCACCGUAUAAUAA
Wyeomyia smithii (pitcher-plant mosquito) is the source of this 626-nucleotide long non-coding RNA. RefSeq lists it as uncharacterized. The record is from RefSeq and is a predicted model, not a curated record. The transcript is spliced from 3 exons. Lineage: Eukaryota; Metazoa; Arthropoda; Insecta; Diptera; Culicidae.